RNAcentral lists this ribosomal RNA (429 nucleotides) under Chloroflexota bacterium. Its description in RNAcentral is "Chloroflexi bacterium partial 16S ribosomal RNA". It matches the Rfam family "Bacterial small subunit ribosomal RNA", at positions 355 to 776 of the family's 1533-position model. Lineage: Bacteria; Bacillati; Chloroflexota. The record is from RNAcentral.
UGGGGAAUAUUGCACAAUGGGCGCAAGCCUGAUGCAGCCAUGCCGCGUGUGUGAAGAAGGCCUUCGGGUUGUAGAGCACUUUCAGCGGGGAGGAAGGCGUUAAGGUUAAUAACCUUGGCGAUUGACGUUACCCGCAGAAGAAGCACCGGCUAACUCCGUGCCAGCAGCCGCGGUAAUACGGAGGGUGCAAGCGUUAAUCGGAAUUACUGGGCGUAAAGCGCACGCAGGCGGUCUGUCAAGUCGGAUGUGAAAUCCCCGGGCUCAACCUGGGAACUGCAUUCGAAACUGGCAGGCUAGAGUCUUGUAGAGGGGGGUAGAAUUCCAGGUGUAGCGGUGAAAUGCGUAGAGAUCUGGAGGAAUACCGGUGGCGAAGGCGGCCCCCUGGACAAAGACUGACGCUCAGGUGCGAAAGCGUGGGGAGCAAACAGG